UGGCGGCAGCGAUGACCCGUUGCUUGCCAGUGAAGAACACGAAGGCCGUGGUGAACACCAGCGGGAUCAUCGAGCCGCCC
This 80-nucleotide microRNA precursor is filed under the name Pseudomonas sp. GM49. RNAcentral describes it as "mir-22". The record is from RNAcentral. Lineage: Bacteria; Pseudomonadati; Pseudomonadota; Gammaproteobacteria; Pseudomonadales; Pseudomonadaceae.